Lasiosphaeria hispida is the source of this 85-nucleotide non-coding RNA. The record is from the annotation of a GenBank genome assembly. NCBI's taxonomy places the organism in Eukaryota, Fungi, Ascomycota, Sordariomycetes, Sordariales, Lasiosphaeriaceae.
GCUUCCGUAGUACAGAGGUUAGUAUGUGGGCUUGUCAACAGAUGUUGCUUCGCCCGGGACCCGGGCUCGAAUCCCGGCGGGAGCG